AAUAUAAUAAUUUAUACAUAUUCAAUGAACUUGUUAAGACAAAUAUAAAUUUUGGACCAAAGUUAAUGGGUACAAUCGAACUCCGAAGGGCUUGAUCCGCCACUGUGCGUCACGAUCUUGUCAUAAGCAAAUCCUUGGUACCCAACUUUAAACAAUUCUAAGGCCAAAAACCAUGAAAUUUCACACUUCUCCUAUAGCAGAAAGGAGCAAGAUACCAGUUUGCUUUUCCAUUAGUUAAAAUAAAGGCAAGGCUCAACCAAAUGGAGACAACUAAUUUCCAACUAUUCUAAUAUCAUUGCAAACUUCACAAAUACAUACAUAUGUCAUAAACCACAUCAAAACAUUAGAUUCAAACUUGGCAGCUGAACAAAUUGUACAGGGAAAUCAUCUUGUCUGAAGUUAGAAAAAUAUAGCAACAACAUUAGAACAGAUGUUUUCCGCUACGCUAAUGCGCCAUUUAAGAGGAAGAGAAUUCUACAUAUUUUAGCCUUUAAAGUUAGUCUUCUGCUCCUGAGCCCAGGACAAAGCUCGGAAAUGCUAAAUUGACAUCCCUGGAAAAGCACGUAAAGAAGCAGUUAAAAUCUGAAGGAGUUCAACCAUUUGAACACACUCGUGACAUUGCAACACAAAGUAUGGUAAAAAUCAGUAUAUCUUGGUCCAGAAAAGUAGUGCAGAAGUCUGAAUGCAAUUUAGCAAGCAACAAACUGAAAAUAUCGAACGUAUACUCUUCCUAUAUAUCUACGUUGUAGAAAGAGAGAUUAUCUCCACGCUAUUGAUACCAGUAAUUUGAAGAAGUCCAAGACUGCACAAAACACACUAAACAAAAGACAAGUUUACAGACUUCGGCAGGAGACGAACGUCAAUCUUCA
This 869-nucleotide long non-coding RNA is filed under the name Nicotiana benthamiana. Its description in RNAcentral is "long non-coding RNA (NBEN_LNC037305)". Lineage: Eukaryota; Viridiplantae; Streptophyta; Magnoliopsida; Solanales; Solanaceae. The record is from RNAcentral.